This 246-nucleotide ribosomal RNA is filed under the name uncultured bacterium. RNAcentral describes it as "partial 16S ribosomal RNA". It matches the Rfam family "Bacterial small subunit ribosomal RNA", at positions 524 to 768 of the family's 1533-position model. The record is from RNAcentral.
UACGAAAGGUGCAAGCGUUACUCGGAAUCACUGGGCGUAAAGGGCGCGUAGGCGGCCUGACAAGUGGAAGGUGAAAUCCCUCGGCUUAACCGAGGAACUGCCCUCCAAACUGUUUGGCUUGAGACCGGGAGAGGUGAGUGGAAUUCCCAGUGUAGCGGUGAAAUGCGCAGAUAUCGGGAAGAACACCGGUGGCGAAGGCGGCCAUCUGGACCGCAACUGACGCUGAGGCGCGGAAAGCGUGGGGAG